GGUAGACUGCUGGGUGAGUUUUUAUGUCUUCACUAUUAUUCUAUAAUGUAGAAAAUAAUGUAAAUAAAGGAAACCCCUUGAAUGAGUAGGUGUGUCCAACAGUUUGACUGGUAGUGUACGUGUGCGAAUGCUGUUCCUUGACUACAGCUCAGCGUUCAACACCAUUUUGUUCCCUCAAAGCUCAUCAUUAAGCUAAGGACUCUGGGACUAAACACCUCCCUCUGCAACUGGAUCCUGGACUUCCUGACGGGCCGCCCCCAGGUGAUGAGGGAGACUGAAAAGAUUUGGCAUGGGUCCUGAGAUCCUCAAAACGUUCUACAGCUGCACCGUCGAGAGCAUUCUGACCGGUUGCAUCACUGCCUGGUACGGCAACUGCUCGGCCUCCGACCGCUAGGCACUACAGAGGGUAGUGGGUACGGCCCAGUACAUCACUGGGGCUAAUCUGCCUGCCAUCCAGGACCUCUACACCAGGCGGUGUCAGAGGAAGGCCCUAAAAAUGGUCAAAGAUUCCAGCCACCCUAGGCAUAGACUGUUCUCUCUGCUACCGCACGGCAAGCGGUACCGGAGCUCCAAGUCCAGGACCAAAAGGCUCCUUAACAGCUUCUACCCCCGAGCCACAAGACUGCUGAACAAUUGUUCAAAUGGCCACCCGGACUAUCUACAUUGACCCCCCCCCUUAGUUUUUAUACCGCUGAUACUCGCUGUUUAUUAUCGUUGCAUAGUCACUUUACAAAUGACCUCGACUAACCUGUACCCACCGCACAUUGACUCGGUACCAGUACCCCCUGUAUAGAGUCUCUUUAUUGUAAUUUUAUUGUGUUACUUAAAAAUAAAUGUUUUACUCUAGUUUAUUUUGCAAAUAUUUUCUUAACUAUAUUUCUUGAACUGCAUUGUUUGUUGGUUAAGGGCUUGUAAGUAAGCAUUUCACUAAGGUCUGUUGUAUUCAGAGCAUGUGACUAAUAAAGUUUUAUUUUAUUGUA
Oncorhynchus keta (chum salmon) is the source of this 980-nucleotide long non-coding RNA. RefSeq lists it as uncharacterized. The transcript is spliced from 2 exons. The record is from RefSeq and is a predicted model, not a curated record. Lineage: Eukaryota; Metazoa; Chordata; Actinopteri; Salmoniformes; Salmonidae.